RNAcentral lists this ribosomal RNA (253 nucleotides) under uncultured bacterium. RNAcentral's name for it is "partial 16S ribosomal RNA". It matches the Rfam family "Bacterial small subunit ribosomal RNA", at positions 524 to 776 of the family's 1533-position model. The record is from RNAcentral.
UACGUAGGCAGCGAGCGUUGUUCGGAGUUACUGGGCGUAAAGGGUGUGUAGGCGGUUGUUUAAGUUUGGUGUGAAAUCUCCCGGCUCAACUGGGAGGGUGCGCCGAAUACUGAGCGACUCGAGUGCGGGAGAGGAAAGUGGAAUUCCUGGUGUAGCGGUGAAAUGCGUAGAUAUCAGGAGGAACACCGGUGGUGUAGGCGGCUUUCUGGACCGUAACUGACGCUGAGACACGAAAGCGUGGGGAGCAAAUGGG